CAGUCGCCGCGGGAAUACGAAGGGUGCAAGCGUUACUCGGAAUUACUGGGCGUAAAGCGUGCGUAGGUGGUGGUUUAAGUCCGUUGUGAAAGCCCUGGGCUCAACCUGGGAAUUGCAGUGGAUACUGGAUCACUAGAGUGUGGUAGAGGAUAGUGGAAUUUCCGGUGUAGCAGUGAAAUGCGUAGAGAUCGGAAGGAACAUCUGUGGCGAAGGCGACUAUCUGGGCCAACACUGACACUGAGGCACGAAAGCGUGGGGAGCAAACAGGAUUAGAUACCCCAGUAGUCCCUGUCUCUUAUAC
This 301-nucleotide ribosomal RNA is filed under the name uncultured bacterium. RNAcentral describes it as "partial 16S ribosomal RNA". It matches the Rfam family "Bacterial small subunit ribosomal RNA", at positions 509 to 807 of the family's 1533-position model. The record is from RNAcentral.